Molecule: non-coding RNA, 31 nt
Filed under: Mus musculus (house mouse)
Lineage: Eukaryota; Metazoa; Chordata; Mammalia; Rodentia; Muridae
Source: RNAcentral
GAGGAAAUGGGACCCAGACAGUUGGGAUGGC